AUGUUAUUUAGUUACCUGAUAGUAUCAGUGUCCAAGUUAUCAUUCAGGAAAAAUAAUCAUAAAGUUGUAAUUGUUUGAGUUAAUUUCCAACUUUAGGAAUCAACUUAACUGAUACACACCAUGUUUCACAGCACAGGCGAAAAGAAGCACAGUUUUCACGUUCGAGAUAAAUAUUCCAAUUAAGCAAUGCAUUUGGAGGAAAUAUCAAAUGCUUAAUCAGCGCAAAGUGGCCCAAAAUUGUUCGAGAAAUCCGAUAUCUGGAAAGCAGAAUCCACAACUGAAGUGGUGAUGAGUUCCGACUACGAUGGUCGCCGCGGACGACGGACGAAAACAACAACAAUGACGCGACGAAUACCGGACCGGCUGGUAACGGUGAUGGAUGGAGCGAGGACAGACAUUUGUCUCGCUGACAAAAGCGCCACGAUGAAAUACGACGGGCAAUAAAAGUGAAAUGUACACACCUAUCUACUGCUGGCUGCUAAUAAACAUGUGUGAAAAUGAUACGGGA
This is a long non-coding RNA of Aedes albopictus (Asian tiger mosquito), 508 nucleotides long. RefSeq lists it as uncharacterized. Lineage: Eukaryota; Metazoa; Arthropoda; Insecta; Diptera; Culicidae. The record is from RefSeq and is a predicted model, not a curated record. The transcript has 2 exons.